This 658-nucleotide long non-coding RNA is filed under the name Arabidopsis lyrata. Its description in RNAcentral is "long non-coding RNA (ALYR_LNC002759)". The record is from RNAcentral. Lineage: Eukaryota; Viridiplantae; Streptophyta; Magnoliopsida; Brassicales; Brassicaceae.
UCCUAGAGGUAAAAGAUCUCAUCUCCUCCACCCUACGAUCUCCAUUCUUCUUCAGUUCUUCUUUCUUCAUCUCCUUCCUUCUUUUCUAAGACUCCUCUACAUCUUAAUUUUCUUCGUUCUCGUCUCAAUCCGCCUUCAACCCAUCUUGAUCUUCUUUGUUCUCCUCUACGAUCUCCAUUCUCCUUUCUUCAUCAACCUCGUUCAAUGCAAUCUCUCUUAAAAGCUGGAAUAGGACGGUCGGAGUUUGCCGCGGCUGUCGCCGUCACCUUCACCGACUCACUGUCACCGUCACAACCGGAGCCGCAGCCGCAGCCGCUCAGCUCAUAUCCUUGUCAAAACCCUAAAAUUUUUAUUGGGUAUUAAUUAUAUUGGGCUUUUCUUUGGGUUUUGUUAAUUGUAUUGGGCUUUUGAGUUUUAUUUUAUUGGAUUUGGGUUUGUAAUAGAGUAUUUUUUUUUCUUUUCUAAUAUGUAAACCGAAAUAGAAACCGAAUAAACCGAAGAAAUUAAAAAUCCGGUUCAUGUUCGGAACUUAAAUUUUAGCCAAUAACCGACCCGAAUAAACCGACUUCCGAACCGACUCGAACCGAAUUUCAAUUCGGGUCUAUUCGGUGGAAUUUUUUAAAAACCGAAUUUCUCCCAAACCGAACAAACCGACCCG